UUUUGAUAAAAUAUUUUUGGUGAACAAUACAAUGUAUGCAUAAGUUGCUUAUUGUUGUACAGUUAAUAAUUUAAGGAACUAUUUUAAGUUUAACUUCGCUUAAAUGUUAAACUGUAAGAUGUAUACUAGAGGUGGACGAAAUUUCGAUAGAUAGGUUUACGGAAAAUAUAAGCUAUCAUUAUCGCCUUAAAAUCGGUGGCAACCCAUCACUUACAGAAAGAACGUGCAUUUCGUAAAGUUUCUUGAAAGUGCAAGUGCAAGUGAAAAGUUUUGAAGACAAUUAAAUCUGCAAUUUUUAAAACGGAUUUAAACAAGAUAUUUUCUUGGUCGUCACCAAUUCACAUCCAUACACACAUACAUAUACAAAUGAGCAGAUAGGACAAAGAAAAAAAAUUUUCCUGGGAUAGAACCAAUGCGCAUUUACAAUACAAAGAGUGCGCAAGUGGUUAUUUAUGUGUAGAUGUUGAGUUAAAAUAUCCAGACGUAGAACUCAGUUUGGAAAAUAAGUGGAUCACAUUCCGAACAAAGUUUAAACUGUUGGAUCAAGAAAGGGUAAAGGAGCAUUACAGCCUGGAUAUUUAAACAAAUUAAAAUAUGAUGAUACA
Molecule: long non-coding RNA, 605 nt
Organism: Drosophila gunungcola (fruit fly)
Lineage: Eukaryota; Metazoa; Arthropoda; Insecta; Diptera; Drosophilidae
Exons: 3
Source: RefSeq, a predicted model, not a curated record